UUUGCUUUGUUGAGUGACCUUGAACUCUGC
Molecule: non-coding RNA, 30 nt
Filed under: Mus musculus (house mouse)
Lineage: Eukaryota; Metazoa; Chordata; Mammalia; Rodentia; Muridae
Source: RNAcentral